Molecule: ribosomal RNA, 476 nt
Filed under: uncultured bacterium
Lineage: Bacteria
Description: partial 16S ribosomal RNA
Rfam family: Bacterial small subunit ribosomal RNA
Source: RNAcentral
CGCUGGCGGCCUGCUUUACACAUGCAAGUCGAACGGUAACAGGCCGCAAGGUGCUGACGAGUGGCGAACGGGUGAGUAAUGCAUCGGAACGUGCCCAGUCGUGGGGGAUAACUACUCGAAAGAGUAGCUAAUACCGCAUACGAUCUAUGGAUGAAAGCGGGGGACCGUAAGGCCUCGCGCGAUUGGAGCGGCCGAUGUCAGAUUAGGUAGUUGGUGGGGUAAAGGCUCACCAAGCCAACGAUCUGUAGCUGGUCUGAGAGGACGACCAGCCACACUGGGACUGAGACACGGCCCAGACUCCUACGGGAGGCAGCAGUGGGGAAUUUUGGACAAUGGGCGCAAGCCUGAUCCAGCAAUGCCGCGUGCAGGAAGAAGGCCUUCGGGUUGUAAACUGCUUUUGUACGGAACGAAACGGCUCUGGUUAAUACCCGGGGCUAAUGACGGUACCGUAAGAAUAAGCACCGGCUAACUACGUG